GUGAGGAAUAUUGGUCAAUGGACGAGAGUCUGAACCAGCCAAGUCGCGUGAAGGAAGACGGUUCUAUGAAUUGUAAACUUCUUUUGUGCAGGAAUAAAGUGGGUUACGUGUAACCUUUUGUAUGUACUGUACGAAUAAGGAUCGGCUAACUCCGUGCCAGCAGCCGCGGUAAUACGGAGGAUCCGAGCGUUAUCCGGAUUUAUGGGGUUUAAAGGGUGCGUAGGUGGAUUGAUAAGUCAGCGGUGAAAGUUUGCAGCUUAACUGUAAAAUUGCCGUUGAAACUGUCGGUCUUGAGUGCAAAUGAGGUAGGCGGAAUGUGUUGUGUAGCGGUGAAAUGCUUAGAUAUAACACAGAACUCCGAUUGCGAAGGCAGCUUACUGGGAUGCAACUGACACUGAUGCACGAAAGCGUGGGUAUCAAACAGGAUUAGAUACCCCAGUAGUCC
Molecule: ribosomal RNA, 445 nt
Filed under: uncultured bacterium
Lineage: Bacteria
Description: partial 16S ribosomal RNA
Rfam family: Bacterial small subunit ribosomal RNA
Source: RNAcentral